RNAcentral lists this ribosomal RNA (733 nucleotides) under Aphanomyces helicoides. Its description in RNAcentral is "eukaryotic LSU rRNA". The stretch from base 190 to 344 matches the Rfam family "5.8S ribosomal RNA". Lineage: Eukaryota; Oomycota; Saprolegniomycetes; Saprolegniales; Verrucalvaceae. The record is from RNAcentral.
UCCGUAGGUGAACCUGCGGAAGGAUCAUUACCACACCAAAAAAAAUAUCCACGUGAAGGUAUUCUUUAUGAAGCCACGUCAAGCUUUGGCUUGCAGUGCAGAAGGCAAUUUAUUGCCGAUGUGAUUUCAUCCCUUGAAUAAAUGACUGAUUGAGAUAGCCAUCAGAAAUGAUAGCUUGUAAUACUAUACAACUUUCAACAGUGGAUGUCUCGGCUCGCACAUCGAUGAAGAGCGCGGCGAACUGCGAUACGUAAUGCGAAUUGCAGAAUUCAGUGAGUCAUCGAAAUCUUGAACGCAUAUUGCACUUUCGGGUUAGUCCUGGAAGUAUGUCUGUAUCAGUGUCCGUCGACACCAACUUGUUUAAUUAAUUAAUUAGACAGAAUGUGAAGGUCUUGUGAAAGUCCUUUGAAAAGAAUGUCCCUUGCUCGAAGUCAGAGUAUAUUAAAUAAAGGGCUCGUGUGAUCUUGUUUCGGUAUUAUUUUAUGUUGCGAGUGCACAUAUCUGAAAGGAGAUGAAAUUGCGGUAGUUUUGCUUGUGUUUCGGCACGGGUGGACAUGUAUUGCAUUUGAAUUCGAGUGGAGGAUUUUUGUGAUUGUGGAUGAAAUAGGAGCAAGAGAGGGCGAGUCUGGUGUAUUCUAAUGACGAGGCGAGAAGUAAAUGGGAACUAAUUCAAUUUGGACCUGAUAUCAGACAAGACUACCCGCUGAAUUUAANCAUAUCAAUAAGCGGAGGA